GUGGGGAAUAUUGGACAAUGGGCGAAAGCCUGAUCCAGCCAUGCCGCGUGUGUGAAGAAGGUCUUCGGUUUGUAAAGCACUUUAUGUUGGGAGGAAGGGCAGUAAGUUAAUACCUUGCUGUUUUGACGUUACCGACAGAAUAAGCACCGGCUAACUUCGUGCCAGUAGCCGCGGUAAUACGACGGGUGCAAGCGUUAAACGGAAUUACUGGGCGUAAAGCGCGCGUAGGUGGUUUUGUAAGUUGGAGGUGAAAUCCACUGGCUCAACCUGGAAACUGCCUCCAAAACUGCAUGACUAGAGUACGGUAGAGGGUAGUGGAAUUUCCUGUGUAGCGGUGAAAUGCGUAGAUAUAAGAAGGAACACCAGUGGCGAAGGCGACUACCUGGACUGAUACUGACACUGAGGUGCGAAAGCGUGGGGAGCAAACAGGAUUAGAUACCCUAGUAGUCC
RNAcentral lists this ribosomal RNA (450 nucleotides) under uncultured bacterium. Its description in RNAcentral is "partial 16S ribosomal RNA". It matches the Rfam family "Bacterial small subunit ribosomal RNA", at positions 354 to 796 of the family's 1533-position model. The record is from RNAcentral.